Molecule: ribosomal RNA, 460 nt
Filed under: uncultured bacterium
Lineage: Bacteria
Description: partial 16S ribosomal RNA
Rfam family: Bacterial small subunit ribosomal RNA
Source: RNAcentral
CCUACGGGUGGCAGCAGUGAGGAAUAUUGGUCAAUGGACGCAAGUCUGAACCAGCCAUGUCGCGUGCAGGAAGACGGCCCUACGAGUUGUAAACUGCUUUUGUAAGAGGGUAAACGCAGAUACGCGUAUCUGUCUGAAAGUAUCGUACGAAUAAGGAUCGGCUAACUCCGUGCCAGCAGCCGCGGUAAUACGGAGGAUUCAAGCGUUAUCCGGAUUUAUUGGGUUUAAAGGGUGCGUAGGUGGGCGGUUAAGUUAGUGGUGAAAUCCCGAGGCUCAACUUCGGAAUUGCAUCUGAUACUGGUAGUCUAGAGUGUAGUUGCGGUAGGCGGAAUGUAUGGUGUAGCGGUGAAAUCCUUAGAGAUCAUACAGAACACCGAUUGCGAAGGCAGCUUACCAAGCUACUUCUGACGUUGAGGCACGAAAGCGUGGGGAUCAAACAGGAUUAGAUACCCGUGUAGUC